UCUUCCACAAUGGACGCAAGACUGACGAAGCAACGCCGCGUGAGUGAUGAAGGUUUUCGGAUCGUAUAACACUGUUGUUAGGGAAGAACAAGUACCGUUCGAAUAUGGCGGUACCUUGACGGUACCUAUCCAGAAAGCCACGGCUAACUACGUGCCAGCAGCCGCGGUAAUACGUAGGUGGCAAGCGUUGUCCGGAAUUAUUGGGCGUAAAGCGCGCGCAGGCGGUUUCUUAAGUCUGAUGUGAAAGCCCCCGGCUCAACCGGGGAGGGUCAUUGGAAACUGGGGAACUUGAGUGCAGAAGAGGAGAGUGGAAUUCCACGUGUAGCGGUGAAAUGCGUAGAGAUGUGGAGGAACACCAGUGGCGAAGGCGACUCUCUGGUCUGCAACUGACGCUGAGGCGCGAAAGCGUGGGGAGCGAACAG
Molecule: ribosomal RNA, 422 nt
Filed under: uncultured bacterium
Lineage: Bacteria
Description: bacterial SSU rRNA
Rfam family: Bacterial small subunit ribosomal RNA
Source: RNAcentral